RNAcentral lists this ribosomal RNA (459 nucleotides) under uncultured bacterium. RNAcentral describes it as "partial 16S ribosomal RNA". It matches the Rfam family "Bacterial small subunit ribosomal RNA", at positions 338 to 795 of the family's 1533-position model. The record is from RNAcentral.
CCUACGGGAGUCAGCAGUGAGGCAUAUUGGUCAAUGGCCGAGCGGCUGAACCAGCCAAGUCGCGUGAGGGCAGACGGCCCUACGGGUUGUAAAACUCUUUUGUCGGGGAGCAAAGCGAACCACGUGUGGUUCAUUGAGAGUACCCGAAGAAAAAGCAUCGGCUAACUCCGUGCCAGCAGCGGCGGUAAUACGGAGGAUGCGAGCGUUAUCCGGAUCUAUUGGGUUAAAAGGGUGCGCAGGCGGAGGUGCAAGUCAGCGGUCAAAUUGCGGGGCUCAACCCCGUACUGCCGUUGAAACUGCAUCCCUUGAGUGCGCGAGAAGUAUGCGGAAUGCGUGGUGUAGCGGUGAAAUGCAUAGAUAUCACGCAGAACUCCGAUUGCGAAGGAAGCAUACCGGCGCGCAACUGACGCUCAUGCACGAAAGCGUGGGUAUCGAACAGGAUUAGAUACCCUAGUAGUC